This 253-nucleotide ribosomal RNA is filed under the name uncultured bacterium. RNAcentral's name for it is "partial 16S ribosomal RNA". It matches the Rfam family "Bacterial small subunit ribosomal RNA", at positions 524 to 776 of the family's 1533-position model. The record is from RNAcentral.
UACGUAGGGACCAAGCGUUGCUCGGAUUUACUGGGCGUAAAGGGCGCGUAGGCGGCGUGUUAAGUCAGCUGUGAAAUCUCCGAGCUUAACUCAGAACGGCCAAGUGAUACUGCAGUGCUAGAGUGCAGAAGGGGCAAUCGGAAUUCUUGGUGUAGCGGUGAAAUGCGUAGAUAUCAAGAGGAACACCUGAGGUGAAGACGGGUUGCUGGGCUGACACUGACGCUGAGGCGCGAAAGCCAGGGGAGCAAACGGG